This 497-nucleotide ribosomal RNA is filed under the name uncultured bacterium. RNAcentral describes it as "partial 16S ribosomal RNA". It matches the Rfam family "Bacterial small subunit ribosomal RNA", at positions 28 to 507 of the family's 1533-position model. The record is from RNAcentral.
GAUGAACGCUGGCGGCGUGCCUAAUACAUGCAAGUCGAGCGAACAGACGAGGAGCUUGCUCCUCUGACGUUAGCGGCGGACGGGUGAGUAACACGUGGAUAACCUACCUAUAAGACUGGGAUAACUUCGGGAAACCGGAGCUAAUACCGGAUAAUAUAUUGAACCGCAUGGUUCAAUAGUGAAAGACGGUUUUGCUGUCACUUAUAGAUGGAUCCGCGCCGCAUUAGCUAGUUGGUAAGGUAACGGCUUACCAAGGCAACGAUGCGUAGCCGACCUGAGAGGGUGAUCGGCCACACUGGAACUGAGACACGGUCCAGACUCCUACGGGAGGCAGCAGUAGGGAAUCUUCCGCAAUGGGCGAAAGCAUGACGGAGCAACGCCGCGUGAGUGAUGAAGGUCUUCGGAUCGUAAAACUCUGUUAUUAGGGAAGAACAAAUGUGUAAGUAACUAUGCACGUCUUGACGGUACCUAAUCAGAAAGCAACGGCUAACUACGUG